AUCUGACUCCCUAACCUAGGUUGGAGGAGCAAGUUUUAAUGGGUUUGUUUGGAUUGUAAGUUAUUUGAGAAUCAAAUAUUUUUACUGUAGCACUUUUUGUGAUGUGAUGUAUGUGAGAUAAAAAGGUAAUUGAGAAGAUAAAAAGGUGUAUUGAAAAUUGUAAUGAUGAUAUAAGCAAAUAUAUUUGAGAAAAUAAUCAGCUGUCCAAACAAACUUAACAGUAAAGUACUACUCCUACUUUUUCAAUUUCAAAUGAGAAAUUUCUAUUUUUGGUACCAAGCAAAUUCUCGACUUUACUCUCUGUAAUUACCACAUUGAAUCUGUUGCCAUCUUCUUUUUUUUUUUCUUUUCUAUAAUGGAUAAUAGUUAUUACUGGAUCGGACUGAGUUGAUA
Molecule: long non-coding RNA, 393 nt
Filed under: Coffea arabica (coffee)
Lineage: Eukaryota; Viridiplantae; Streptophyta; Magnoliopsida; Gentianales; Rubiaceae
Description: long non-coding RNA (CARA_LNC004813)
Source: RNAcentral